GAUGAACGCUGGCGGCGUGCCUAAUACAUGCAAGUCGAGCGAAGUUUCGCUGGGCUUGCUCCUCUAAAAAUUUAGGGGCAAAGGGGGGUGAACCAUGUAUAAACCCCCUCUCAUACUGGGGUAACUUCUUGGAAACGGAUCUCAAACCCCGUAAAAUAUUAUUCCCCCUUGUUCAAUAAUUAAAAACUGGUUUUCUUUAACAUAUAGAUUUGUCUUCGCUGCAUUAGCUCUAUUGUGGGGUAACGGCUCACCAAGGCCACGAUGCGUAGCCGACCUGAGAGGGUGAUCGGCCACACUGGAACUGAGACACGGCCCAGACUCCUACGGGAGGCAGCAGUAGGGAAUCUUCCGCAAUGGGCGAAAGCCUGACGGAGCAACGCCGCGUGAGUGAAGAAGGUUUUCGGUUCGUAAAACUCUGUUGUUAGGGAAGAAUAGAUGUGUAAUAAAUAUACAAGUAAGAGACGGUACCUAACCAGAAAGCCACGGCUAACUACGUG
Molecule: ribosomal RNA, 497 nt
Filed under: uncultured bacterium
Lineage: Bacteria
Description: partial 16S ribosomal RNA
Rfam family: Bacterial small subunit ribosomal RNA
Source: RNAcentral